GGCCUGACCACUCUGGAAAAGACUUCAGAGGCCAAAGACAGAAGCUGGGACUUGAGAAAGAAGGUGACCAAGCAGGACCCUUGACACUGGAGAGAAAGUCAUGCUGACAAUGACUGCAUUUUAAAGCACCGACUGUGUGUUAUUUCUUCGCUGCUCCAGCUAGGAAGGAACAUCAUGACACUUAUUCUGUGACAAAGGAUUAUAACUUGUGGAAGACCCAUGUCAGAUCUCUUCAGGACCUAGCCCAUCCCCUGCUUCAAACAUGGUGACUGGCCAAUGGUAACACUUGGAUUUAAGCCUCAGUGGAAGGAAUGAGAAGUCCCCUGUUUUCUGAGCCUGGCUUUCCAGGAUUCUUGUUAGGAAUCACCAGGCUUGUGUCAGAUGGGAGAUCACCCACAAGCAUCGCGUCUCGGAGAAGCCACCCGCCCGUGUGCGCUCAGAUGGAGAGCACGCCACUUGGAAUUUCAAAGUACUGCUAAUUAAGAGCAGUUUAUUAAAAUGUCAAUCUUUUCAACCAAAACAA
Molecule: long non-coding RNA, 523 nt
Filed under: Rattus norvegicus (Norway rat)
Lineage: Eukaryota; Metazoa; Chordata; Mammalia; Rodentia; Muridae
Description: long non-coding RNA NONRATT001127
Source: RNAcentral